UACAGAGAAUUGACAAACAAAAAAGAAGUAAUACAAAAAGUCAUCAUUUAAAAUUUAGAAUUGUAACGUAAAAAAAUCCGAUUUUCGUUUAAUUUUAGUUUGAAAACUGUCAUUAUCUUUUUUAACGUCUUUUUACACAAUCUAGAUGAGAAUUUGUUAAAUUUUUAACGUGAAAUGUACGCAAAGUAAUAAUUUAAUCGUGAUAUUAAAAAUAACUAAAUUAUAUGACCAAAUGAUAAGAGUGUCGUAAUUGGCUAAACAUGGCACGAUGUCGCCGAAAAAGAAAACUAUGUAAGAC
This is a long non-coding RNA of Spodoptera frugiperda (fall armyworm), 298 nucleotides long. RefSeq lists it as uncharacterized. Lineage: Eukaryota; Metazoa; Arthropoda; Insecta; Lepidoptera; Noctuidae. The transcript is spliced from 3 exons. The record is from RefSeq and is a predicted model, not a curated record.